AGCAGCAGCCGCGGUAAAACGGAGGGUGCAAGCGUUAUCCGGAUUUAUUGGGUUUAAAGGGUCCGUAGGCGGACUUAUAAGUCAGUGGUGAAAGCCUGUCGCUUAACGAUAGAACUGCCAUUGAUACUGUAAGUCUUGAGUAUAUUUGAGGUAGCUGGAAUAAGUAGUGUAGCGGUGAAAUGCAUAGAUAUUACUUAGAACACCAAUUGCGAAGGCAGGUUACCAAGAUAUAACUGACGCUGAGGGACGAAAGCGUGGGUAGCGAACAGGAUUAGAUACCCCCGUAGUCCCUGUCUCUUAUAC
Molecule: ribosomal RNA, 303 nt
Filed under: uncultured bacterium
Lineage: Bacteria
Description: partial 16S ribosomal RNA
Rfam family: Bacterial small subunit ribosomal RNA
Source: RNAcentral